AGCGAACGCUGGCGGCAUGCUUAACACAUGCAAGUCGCACGGAGGGUUUCGGCCCUUAGUGGCGGACGGGUGAGUAUCGCGUAGGGAUUUAUCGUUGGGGUGGGGGAGUAACCUUCGGGAAACGUAGGGGCGUAAUAACCGCAUGACGCCUGAGGGCCGAAAGUUAGUAAUGGCGCCUGACGAGAAGCCUGCGUCCGAUUAGGUAGUUGGUUGGGUCGAUGGCUGACCAAGCCUGCGAUCGGAGCUGGUCUGAGAGGAUGAUCAGCCACACUGGGACUGAGAC
RNAcentral lists this ribosomal RNA (283 nucleotides) under uncultured bacterium. Its description in RNAcentral is "partial 16S ribosomal RNA". It matches the Rfam family "Bacterial small subunit ribosomal RNA", at positions 29 to 325 of the family's 1533-position model. The record is from RNAcentral.